CUCCUGCCGUAUGAAAGCAAUACUCUAACCACUGAGUUAAGUAGGU
Molecule: transfer RNA, 46 nt
Filed under: Melastoma sanguineum
Lineage: Eukaryota; Viridiplantae; Streptophyta; Magnoliopsida; Myrtales; Melastomataceae
Also listed under: 2 other names
Description: partial tRNA-Met
Source: RNAcentral